Molecule: long non-coding RNA, 443 nt
Organism: Ornithorhynchus anatinus (platypus)
Lineage: Eukaryota; Metazoa; Chordata; Mammalia; Monotremata; Ornithorhynchidae
Exons: 3
Source: RefSeq, a predicted model, not a curated record
AGCAGGACCUUAACCGCCUUCAUUGUGGUGAUUUGUUGGAGCCUUUUAGAUCAGUGGUGUGUCCUUCCUUCUGUUGUUCUGAUAAUUUCUGGUACUUUACACAUAAAUCGUCUGGAUGACAAUCUCAACUCUCCAGUUUAUUCCUCCUGAGAUGAUCCGGUUUCAGUGCUUUCUUGGAUUGGAUCUAUAUGAGGCAUGGGAGGAAUGAGGAAUUGUCACCCAUCUUGCGAAGAAGGGAUUCUGUUUUCAAUUUGAACAGGGGCCCUGAUUUUAACCAUCAGUCACUGGAGAAGACAGAAGUACUAGGUAUCUGAAGCACAGAUCAUUACACUGCCAGACACAGAGCUAUAACUUGGCUUCAUUUUUGUUCUCAGACAGCUUUACAGAGGCAAAGGUUUCACGUGAAACAUACAAGUGCAUUAAAGUACUUAUCUCUUAGUUGA